GCCUACGGGGCGCAGCAGUGGGGAAUAUUGCGCAAUGGGCGAAAGCCUGACGCAGCGACGCCGCGUGAGGGAUGAAGGUCUUCGGAUCGUAAACCUCUGUCAGCAGGGAAGAACGGUCACUGUGCUAAUCAGCAGUGAAUUGACGGUACCUGCAAAGGAAGCACAGGCUAACUCCGUGCCAGCAGCCGCGGUAAUACGGAGGGUGCGAGCGUUAAUCGGAAUUACUGGGCGUAAAGCGCUCGUAGGCGGUAUGUCAAGUCAAGGGUGAAAUCCCCGCGCUCAACGUGGGAACUGCAUUUGACACU
This 305-nucleotide ribosomal RNA is filed under the name uncultured bacterium. RNAcentral describes it as "bacterial SSU rRNA". It matches the Rfam family "Bacterial small subunit ribosomal RNA", at positions 337 to 634 of the family's 1533-position model. The record is from RNAcentral.